Mercenaria mercenaria is the source of this 450-nucleotide long non-coding RNA. RefSeq lists it as uncharacterized. Lineage: Eukaryota; Metazoa; Mollusca; Bivalvia; Venerida; Veneridae. The record is from RefSeq and is a predicted model, not a curated record. The transcript has 3 exons.
AACGAAGUCAGAGCGGAACCAUACAUUAACUGUGCAACAGAUCGUUUUUCGUGACAUCGGAAAUUUUGCAGUUGCAGAAAAGUUUUAAUUCAAAGUGUGUGGAUACGAAAAUGUACACUAUGCUCGAAAAGUUUCUGAGAUUACUUCUAGUGUUUGUAGCUUUGUGGAUGGUAGCAAACGCACAAUGGCCGCAAGGCCUCCCUUUUUUUGGCCGAGGGUUUGGUGGUGAUGAUAUGGACAUGGACGAUAUGUUUGAGAGAAUGAAUAUGUUGCGAUUUGGAGGCCGCUUUUGGGGGGAUUAGCGAAUCUGUGUGUCGUGCUUGUUGUGUUGUCCAGUGACAGGGAUUGAAAUAUGAAACAUCUGGCUUGGCAUAAUGAAUGAACUUUUAAAUCACGAGUGCCACUUUUAUGUGUAUUAAUAUAUAUUGAAAUAAAAGGAUGAUUAACUUA